RNAcentral lists this ribosomal RNA (1515 nucleotides) under uncultured Bacillota bacterium. Its description in RNAcentral is "uncultured Firmicutes bacterium 16S ribosomal RNA". It matches the Rfam family "Bacterial small subunit ribosomal RNA". The record is from RNAcentral. Lineage: Bacteria; Bacillati; Bacillota.
AGAGUUUGAUCCUGGCUCAGGACGAACGCUGGCGGCGUGCCUAAUACAUGCAAGUCGAGCGAAUAGAUGGGAGCUUGCUCCCUUAUCUUAGCGGCGGACGGGUGAGUAACACGUGGGCAACCUGCCCUGCAGAUCGGGAUAACUCCGGGAAACCGGGGCUAAUACCGAAUAAUUUGCUGCCUCACAUGAGGAUGUGUUGAAAGACGGUUUCUGCUGUCACUGUACGAUGGGACCCCCGGCCCUUUACUUGUUGGGGAAGGAACGGGUCCCCCAGGGCCCCAAGCGUAACCCAACUGAAAAGGGGAUUCGCCACCCUGGGACUGAAACCCCGCCCAAACUCCUACGGGAAGCAGCCAUAAGGAAUCUUUCCCAAUGGAACAAAGUCUGACCGAACCAACGCGCCUGAAUGAAGAAGGGUUUUCGAUCCUUAAACUCUGGUGGGAGGGAAGAACCAAUACCCACUAACUACUGGUACCUUGACCGUACCUCAACCAAAAACCACGGCUAACUACCUGCCAACAGCCGCGCGUAAUUACGUAGUGUGGCAGCGUUGUCCGGAAUUAUUGGGCGUUAAGCGCGCGCGCAGCGCGGCCCUUAAAUCUCGAUGUGAAAGCCCCCCGCUCUCACCGUGGGAAGGGCAUUUGGAACUGGGGGACUUGAGAUGUGCGAAAAGAAAGUGGAAUUCCCCCUGUAGCCGUGAAAUGCGUAAUAAUGUGGGAGGACACCCAUUGGCAACUUUCUUGGUCUGACUGACAGCUUAAGGCGCCAAGGGGGGAGCAAACAGGAUUAGAUACCCUGGUAGUCCACGCCGUAAACGAUGAGUGCUAAGUGUUAGGGGGUUUCCGCCCUUUAGUGCUGCAGCUAACGCAUUAAGCACUCCGCCUGGGGAGUACGGCCGCAAGGCUGAAACUCAAAGGAAUUGACGGGGGCCCGCACAAGCGGUGGAGCAUGUGGUUUAAUUCGAAGCAACGCGAAGAACCUUACCAGGUCUUGACAUCCCGCUGACCGCCUAGGAGACUAGGCUUUCCCUUCGGGGACAGCGGUGACAGGUGGUGCAUGGUUGUCGUCAGCUCGUGUCGUGAGAUGUUGGGUUAAGUCCCGCAACGAGCGCAACCCUUGAUCUUAGUUGCCAGCAUUCAGUUGGGCACUCUAAGGUGACUGCCGGUGACAAACCGGAGGAAGGUGGGGAUGACGUCAAAUCAUCAUGCCCCUUAUGACCUGGGCUACACACGUGCUACAAUGGACGGUACAAAGGGCUGCAAACCCGCGAGGGGGAGCCAAUCCCAGAAAACCGUUCUCAGUUCGGAUUGCAGGCUGCAACUCGCCUGCAUGAAGCCGGAAUCGCUAGUAAUCGCGGAUCAGCAUGCCGCGGUGAAUACGUUCCCGGGCCUUGUACACACCGCCCGUCACACCACGAGAGUUUGUAACACCCGAAGUCGGUGGGGUAACCCUUACGGGAGCCAGCCGCCGAAGGUGGGACAGAUGAUUGGGGUGAAGUCGUAACAAGGUAGCCGU